Long non-coding RNA from Monodelphis domestica (gray short-tailed opossum), 355 nucleotides. RefSeq lists it as uncharacterized. NCBI's taxonomy places the organism in Eukaryota, Metazoa, Chordata, Mammalia, Didelphimorphia, Didelphidae. The record is from RefSeq and is a predicted model, not a curated record.
GGGAGAGAAGAGAAGGGAAGGCAAGGAAAGGAAGGGAAAUAAAGUGAAGGGAAAGACAAUUAAGUGCCUACUAUAGGCAAGGGACUGUGAUAAAGAAACUGAGACCCAGAGAGGAUGAAAUUUGCUCAAGAUGAUAUACGUGGAGGUGGAGUCAAGAUGGCUGCCUAGAGUCAGCAAAAGUUCAGACCCCUGAAAACCCUUCAUUACUGACUAAAAAACAAAUGCUCCUAGGUGACUGAAAACCAAAUCUAACAACAGGACAGAGCUAAGGAACCAUCCUGCUAGACUCAACUUAAAAGUAUGCCCCCCAAAAGCCUGAAUUCUAGAAUGCUUGGAUUUAAGGGGAAGGAAGAAG